AUACGGAGGGUGCGAGCGUUAAUCGGAAUUACUGGGCGUAAAGCGUACGUAGGCGGCUUGGUCAGUCGGAUGUGAAAGCCCCGGGCUUAACCUGGGAAUUGCACUCGAUACUGCCAGACUAGAGUUUAGUAGAGGAAUGCGGAAUUCCGGGUGUAGCGGUGAAAUGCGUAGAUAUCCGGAGGAACAUCAGUGGCGAAGGCGGCAUUCUGGGCUAAAACUGACGCUGAGGUACGAAAGCGUGGGGAGCAAACAGGAUUAGAAACCCCGGUAGUCC
This 274-nucleotide ribosomal RNA is filed under the name uncultured bacterium. RNAcentral describes it as "partial 16S ribosomal RNA". It matches the Rfam family "Bacterial small subunit ribosomal RNA", at positions 523 to 796 of the family's 1533-position model. The record is from RNAcentral.